This 301-nucleotide ribosomal RNA is filed under the name uncultured bacterium. RNAcentral describes it as "bacterial SSU rRNA". It matches the Rfam family "Bacterial small subunit ribosomal RNA", at positions 505 to 805 of the family's 1533-position model. The record is from RNAcentral.
GUGUCAGCCGCCGCGGUAAUACGGAGGGUGCAAGCGUUAAUCGGAAUUACUGGGCGUAAAGCGUGCGCAGGCGGUUUUGUAAGACAGGCGUGAAAUCCCCGGGCUCAACCUGGGAACUGCGUUUAUGACUGGCAGGCUAGAGUAUGGCAGAGGGGAGUGGAAUUCCACGUGUAGCAGUGAAAUGCGUAGAGAUGUGGAGGAACACCAAUGGCGAAGGCAGCCCCCUGGGUCGCAACUGACGCUGAUGCACGAAAGCGUGGGUAGCAAACAGGAUUAGAUACCCUGGUAGCCCACGCCCUAA